This 640-nucleotide long non-coding RNA is filed under the name Macaca nemestrina (pig-tailed macaque). RNAcentral describes it as "lncRNA (ENSMNEG00000045958.1)". The record is from RNAcentral. Lineage: Eukaryota; Metazoa; Chordata; Mammalia; Primates; Cercopithecidae.
GCUGUGGUUUUUGUUUCUUUCAUCUUAUCUGAGAGGCAUUUACCUUGUGCUUUGACAGGUUCCAACACAGUAAAUCAAAGGCUACAAUAACCUGGGCCAUUCACUAUGGUCACAAGCAGAUGAUACAGCUUUAAGCAGGUUCAGACUCCAGCCAAACACAGUUCUGUAUUGAAUAAGAUUCUGCAUCAAUGAGGAGAAGUGUCAUAGGAGGCCUCAUAAGACACCAGAUGACCAAUUACAGGAGAAUCAUCAGAAAGAGAACAAGAAAGACUGAGGUAAAAAUGACUAAUGGUGUUUUUGUGCUCCCUUCCUACUUUCCUUUGAAGGAUAAUUAUUGAUUUAUCAAAAAAUAUACUUGCCAUGAAUUACAUCACAUGCUCUUAGAAAUAUGAGGUAUAUAGAAAUGUUGGAAUAUAAACUGUGUUACAUGGAGUCUUUUUGUUAACAGGAUUUUUUCUAAUUCUUUAUGAUUCUCUAUGCCUAUAUGAAUGCAAAGCUGUUUCGUUUUAUUUUGGGCCCAAAUACUUUAUUAUAAUCAUAAUAACAAGCCUACAAUAAUUUUGCAGGCUUGUUAAUAGAGAGCCUACAGUUUGUUGUUUAUCAAGCCAGCAUUUGAGUUAGGCCUCAUAAAUAUGCCCAG